RNAcentral lists this transfer RNA (72 nucleotides) under Pseudanabaena galeata CCNP1313. RNAcentral's name for it is "tRNA-Lys". It matches the Rfam family "tRNA". Rfam says of the family: Transfer RNA (tRNA) molecules are approximately 80 nucleotides in length. Their secondary structure includes four short double-helical elements and three loops (D, anti-codon, and T loops). RNAcentral also lists the same sequence under 1 other name. The record is from RNAcentral. Lineage: Bacteria; Bacillati; Cyanobacteriota; Cyanophyceae; Pseudanabaenales; Pseudanabaenaceae.
GGGUGACUGGCGCAGUGGUAGCGCAUCGGACUCUUAAUCCGCUGGCCCUGGGUUCAAAUCCCAGGUCACCCA